This is a non-coding RNA of Kwoniella sp. CBS 9459, 117 nucleotides long. Lineage: Eukaryota; Fungi; Basidiomycota; Tremellomycetes; Tremellales; Cryptococcaceae. The record is from the annotation of a GenBank genome assembly.
UACGGCCAUAGAAUUGAGAAAGCAUUGGGUCCCGUCUGCUCCCCGUAAUGAUAACCUCAAUAUCGCUCAGUUAGUACCAUCGUGGGGGACCAGGUGGGAAUCCCGGGUGCUGUAGUU